Molecule: transfer RNA, 75 nt
Filed under: Planctomycetota bacterium
Lineage: Bacteria; Pseudomonadati; Planctomycetota
Description: tRNA-Arg
Rfam family: tRNA
About the family: Transfer RNA (tRNA) molecules are approximately 80 nucleotides in length. Their secondary structure includes four short double-helical elements and three loops (D, anti-codon, and T loops). Further hydrogen bonds mediate the characteristic L-shaped molecular structure. tRNAs have two regions of fundamental functional importance: the anti-codon, which is responsible for specific mRNA codon recognition, and the 3' end, to which the tRNAs corresponding amino acid is attached (by aminoacyl-tRNA synthetases). tRNAs cope with the degeneracy of the genetic code in two manners: having more than one tRNA (with a specific anti-codon) for a particular amino acid; and 'wobble' base-pairing, i.e. permitting non-standard base-pairing at the 3rd anti-codon position.
Source: RNAcentral
GCGCUGGUAGCUCAACUGGACAGAGCAUCAGACUUCGGAUCUGAGGGUUGCAGGUUCGACUCCUGCCCGGCGCGC